This 483-nucleotide ribosomal RNA is filed under the name uncultured bacterium. Its description in RNAcentral is "partial 16S ribosomal RNA". It matches the Rfam family "Bacterial small subunit ribosomal RNA", at positions 29 to 507 of the family's 1533-position model. The record is from RNAcentral.
UUGAACGCUGGCGGCAUGCCUUACACAUGCAAGUCGAACGGCAGCACGGGAGCAAUCCUGGUGGCGUGUGGCGAACGGGUGAGUAAUACAUCGGAACGUGCCCAGUAGUGGGGGAUAACCCGGCGAAAGCCGGACUAAUACCGCAUACGACCUACGGGUGAAAGCGGGGGAUCGCAAGACCUCGCGCUAUCGGAGCGGCCGAUGUCAGAUUAGCUAGUUGGUGGGGUAAAGGCCUACCAAGGCGACGAUCUGUAGCUGGUCUGAGAGGACGACCAGCCACACUGGGACUGAGACACGGCCCAGACUCCUACGGGAGGCAGCAGUGGGGAAUUUUGGACAAUGGGCGCAAGCCUGAUCCAGCCAUGCCGCGUGCGGGAAGAAGGCCUUCGGGUUGUAAACCGCUUUUGUCAGGGAAGAAACGCUCCGGGCUAAUACCACGGAGUAAUGACGGUACCUGAAGAAUAAGCACCGGCUAACUACGUG